This 497-nucleotide ribosomal RNA is filed under the name uncultured bacterium. Its description in RNAcentral is "partial 16S ribosomal RNA". It matches the Rfam family "Bacterial small subunit ribosomal RNA", at positions 28 to 507 of the family's 1533-position model. The record is from RNAcentral.
GAUGAACGCUGGCGGCGUGCCUAAUACAUGCAAGUCGAGCGAACGGACGAGAAGCUUGCCUCUCUGAUGUUAGCGGCGGACGGGUGAGUAACACGUGGAUAACCUACCUAUAAGACUGGGAUAACUUCGGGAAACCGGAGCUAAUACCGGAUGAUAUUUUGAACCGCAUGGUUCAAAAGUGAAAGACGGUCUUGCUGUCACUUAUAGAUGGAUCCGCGCUGCAUUAGCUAGUUGGUAAGGUAACGGCUUACCAAGGCAACGAUGCAUAGCCGACCUGAGAGGGUGAUCGGCCACACUGGAACUGAGACACGGUCCAGACUCCUACGGGAGGCAGCAGUAGCGAAUCUUCCGCAAUGGGCGAAAGCCUGACGGAGCAACGCCGCGUGAGUGAUGAAGGUCUUCGGAUCGUAAAACUCUGUUAUUAGGGAAGAACAUAUGUGUAAGUAACUGUGCACAUCUUGACGGUACCUAAUCAGAAAGCCACGGCUAACUACGUG